CCUAAGUCGAGUCCGAAAGGGGUAGACGAUGGAAAAUAGGUUAAUAUUCCUAUACCGACAUAUUAUCGUUUGAGUGAUGGGGGGACGCAUAGAGUUAAAGGGGCUCACUGAUGGAAUAGUGGGUCGAAGGAUGUAGGUCGACAGAUAGGAAAAUCCGUUUGUCAUGAGACCGAGAUCUUACAGGCAGAGCAAUUGCUUCGGCAAGCGCUUUGAACCCUUGAUACUGUCGUGCCGAGAAAAGCCUCUAAACGAGAUAAUAUGUUGCCCGUACCGUAAACCGACACAGGUGGGUGAGAUGAGUAUUCUAAGGCGCGUGGAAGAACCCUGGUUAAGGAACUCUGCAAACUAGCACCGUAUCUUCGGUAUAAGGUGUGCCCUUAGUACGUAAGGAAACUAGCUUUCUAAGCGGAAUAGGGCGACAGCAAAGAGUCCCUCCCGA
Molecule: ribosomal RNA, 439 nt
Filed under: uncultured Campylobacterota bacterium
Lineage: Bacteria; Pseudomonadati; Campylobacterota
Description: bacterial LSU rRNA
Rfam family: Bacterial large subunit ribosomal RNA
Source: RNAcentral